UGGCUGUAGCAAUACAGUCAAGUUGGAGUGGCGCAAGGGUGCGUAACACGUGGGUAAUUUGCCAUAGAGUUGGGGAUAACUCGCUGAAAGGCGAGCUAAUACCGAAUGUGAUCAUUGGGAGGCAUCUUUUGGUGAUCAAAGUUGGGGACCGCAAGGCCUGACGCUCUAUGAUAAGCCCGCGGCCUAUCAGCUAGUUGGUGAGGUAACGGCUCACCAAGGCUAAGACGGGUAGCUGGUCUGAGAGGACGACCAGCCACACUGGAACUGAGACACGGUCCAGACACCUACGGGUGGCAGCAGUCGAGAAUUUUUCUCAAUGGGCGCAAGCCUGAAGGAGCGACGCCGCGUGGGGGAUGAAUGGCUUCGGCCCGUAAACCCCUGUCAUUUGCGAACAAACCUCACGAGUGAACAACUCGUGAGCUGAUUGUAGCGGAAGAGGAAGGGACGGCUAACUCUGUGCCAGCAGCCGCGGUAAUACAGAGGUCCCAAGCGUUGUUCGGAUUCACUGGGCGUAAAGGGUGCGUAGGUGGCAGGGUAAGUUUGAUGUGAAAUCUCCGAGCUUAACUCGGAAACUGCAUUGAAUACUAUCCUGCUUGAGGAUUGGAGGGGAGACUGGAAUUCACGGUGUAGCA
RNAcentral lists this ribosomal RNA (632 nucleotides) under uncultured Verrucomicrobiota bacterium. Its description in RNAcentral is "bacterial SSU rRNA". It matches the Rfam family "Bacterial small subunit ribosomal RNA", at positions 71 to 680 of the family's 1533-position model. The record is from RNAcentral. Lineage: Bacteria; Pseudomonadati; Verrucomicrobiota.